UACGAAGGGGGCUAGCGUUGCUCGGAAUCACUGGGCGUAAAGCGCACGUAGGCGGAUUCUUAAGUCGGUGGUGAAAUCCUGGAGCUCAACUCCAGAACUGCCUUCGAUACUGAGAGUCUCGAGUCCGGGAGAGGUGAGUGGAACUGCGAGUGUAGAGGUGAAAUUCGUAGAUAUCCGCAAGAACACCAGUGGCGAAGGCGGCUCACUGGCCCGGUACUGACGCUGAGGUGCGAAAGCGUGGGGAGCAAACAGG
Molecule: ribosomal RNA, 253 nt
Filed under: uncultured bacterium
Lineage: Bacteria
Description: partial 16S ribosomal RNA
Rfam family: Bacterial small subunit ribosomal RNA
Source: RNAcentral